This 301-nucleotide ribosomal RNA is filed under the name uncultured bacterium. RNAcentral's name for it is "partial 16S ribosomal RNA". It matches the Rfam family "Bacterial small subunit ribosomal RNA", at positions 509 to 807 of the family's 1533-position model. The record is from RNAcentral.
CAGUAGCCACGGUAAUACGGAGGGAGCUAGCGUUGUUCGGAAUUACUGGGCGUAAAGCGCACGUAGGCGGCUUUGUAAGUUAGAGGUGAAAGCCUGGAGCUCAACUCCAGAAUUGCCUUUAAGACUGCAUCGCUUGAAUCCGGGAGAGGUGAGUGGAAUUCCGAGUGUAGAGGUGAAAUUCGUAGAUAUUCGGAAGAACACCAGUGGCGAAGGCGGCUCACUGGACCGGCAUUGACGCUGAGGUGCGAAAGCGUGGGGAGCAAACAGGAUUAGAUACCCCAGUAGUCCCUGUCUCUUAUAC